AAUCCAAAUAAAUGUUAGUUAAACAUCAAAUUUACGUCUCUUAAAAAACAAAUCAUGUGUUUCUAUCACAGGUAGAACCAGGUUUUAACACAUCACAUGCUUCUGCCAGAAUAAAGGUGCCGCCGAGACACCUUGAGCACACCUCUGAAAUCUUUGCUUGAGGAAACUAAAGUCGAUAAAUUCUGCUUCUCGUGAGAAAGAAAAUUUUAUCCAAACUAUCCAUAAAUGUUUUCCUGUUUCAAUGGAACAGCAUGGCAUCACCAUACCCUACCUGCAAAUCUCAAGGGCAAGACAACUCACUUGGUGGACAUAACAAGCAAUCUGGCCUCCACAUCGACAAUCCAGAUGGCUGUUAGUAGCUGAGCGGGGCUGGCCAUCAGCAAACUCAAUCCAGCUCCUUUAUUACGGGCGACCUUCUCCCUGUGGCCUGCAAGCCACAUGGUCUUGUCUAAGGGACUGUGUGUUUUGAAUGUAAUGGGUGUUUUUCAAUUUCUAACAUCCACACCUCGGUUCAUUUUUAAAACUCAUGUGCCAUUUGGAAAUGUGCUAAAUGGGAAACCGUG
This 563-nucleotide long non-coding RNA is filed under the name Vulpes vulpes (red fox). RNAcentral's name for it is "lncRNA (ENSVVUG00000008485.1)". Lineage: Eukaryota; Metazoa; Chordata; Mammalia; Carnivora; Canidae. The record is from RNAcentral.